AAAAGGAUGUGGGGUUGCACAGACAACUAGGAUGUUAGCUUAGAAGCAGCUAUUCAUUCAAAGAGUGCGUAAUAGCUCACUAGUCGAGUGACCCUGCGCCGAAAAUGUACCGGGGCUAAAACAUAUUACCGAAGCUGUGGAUGACACAAAAGUGUCAUGGUAGGAGAGCGUUCUAUGUGUGAAGAAGGUGUACCGUGAGGAGCGCUGGAACGCAUAGAAGUGAGAAUGCCGGUAUGAGUAGCGCAAGACAGGUGAGAAUCCUGUCCACCGUAAGACUAAGGUUUCCAGGGGAAGGCUCGUCCGCCCUGGGUUAGUCGGGACCUAAGGAGAGACCGAAAGGUGUAU
RNAcentral lists this ribosomal RNA (345 nucleotides) under Streptococcus agalactiae. RNAcentral describes it as "bacterial LSU rRNA". It matches the Rfam family "Bacterial large subunit ribosomal RNA", at positions 1067 to 1414 of the family's 2925-position model. The record is from RNAcentral. Lineage: Bacteria; Bacillati; Bacillota; Bacilli; Lactobacillales; Streptococcaceae.